Molecule: ribosomal RNA, 253 nt
Filed under: uncultured bacterium
Lineage: Bacteria
Description: partial 16S ribosomal RNA
Rfam family: Bacterial small subunit ribosomal RNA
Source: RNAcentral
UACGGAGGGUGCAAGCGUUAUCCGGAAUUAUUGGGCGUAAAGCGCGCGCAGGCGGUCCUUUAAGUCUGAUGUGAAAGCCCACGGCUCAACCGUGGAGGGUCAUUGGAAACUGGGGGACUUGGGUGCAGGAGAGAAAAGUGGAAUUCCACGUGUAGCGGUGAAAUGCGUAGAGAUGUGGAGGAACACCAGUGGCGAAGGCGACUUUUUGGCCUGUAACUGACGCUGAGGCGCGAAAGCGUGGGGAGCAAACAGG